This is an RNA transcript of Pseudophryne corroboree (corroboree frog), 2644 nucleotides long. It is a transcript of the gene named ring finger protein 149, with no coding region annotated. Lineage: Eukaryota; Metazoa; Chordata; Amphibia; Anura; Myobatrachidae. The transcript has 8 exons. The record is from RefSeq and is a predicted model, not a curated record.
UCUCUCCGCCCACGGCUACGCCACUGCCUGCUUGGUGCUAGCGCCGCCCUUAGUUACAGUCACCGUUAGUGCUCGUCGUCCUCUCCUGCUCUGUGCGCUGCCUGUACGGCAAAGGAAAGGGGGGAGCCAGCGUGCGAGGGAGGUAGGGAGGUGGGGCGGUGGGAGGAGCGGAGGAUGCAGCUGUAGCUGUGUAAUUACAUGGCCAGCAGCAGCAGUAGUGACAGGAGGAGACCGGCAGCCUUGCUGUGUGUGGUGUCGGCUGUAGCAGCAGCACCACCAGAGGGGGAAGCAGGUGCUGGCACACCGUAGUCUCCAUUCAUCUCACCCCUGUGCCCGGGUACACUGCGUGUUCUCCCGACGGCGGUGAAAGCGUCCAUGCCCUCUGCUGUCUCCAGCCGCUGAGGAUGCCGGGCUGGCUGUAUGUGUGCUCGGUGCUGUGCGCGCUGUGUCCCGGCUCCUCCGGCCGUCCGCUGGAAUGGUUCACUGCCCUGGUGCGCACGGAGUACACGGAGCCGCUAACGAACAGCACGGUGCAUGGUACCACGGAGAGCGGCCGCUAUGGGGACAGCUCCCCCAAGGAGAGCGUUCAGGGCCUAGUGGGGUUCCCGAGGGAUCCAGGACACUUGGAGGGCUGCGACCCCCACACCCAGUACUCAGUGCCCGGCAUGAGCACCGAGGCCAUGGAGGAGGGCGAGCCUUGGAUAGCGCUGGUAGCCCGGGGAGGCUGCACCUUCAAGGAUAAAGUGGUGAACGCGGCCCGCAGGAAGGCAGCUGCUGUGGUUAUAUUCAACGAGGAGAAGAGUGGCAAUGCCACGGUGCCCAUGGCUCACCUAGGGACUGGUAAUACAGUGGUAAUAAUGGUGGGUUAUCCAAAAGGAAUGGAUAUCAUGGAGCUUCUAAGAAGAAACAUUCCCGUAAAAAUGGUCAUCACUGUGGGCACCCGCCUUGUACAGGAAGUCAUCAGCGGGCAGUCGGUGGUGUUUGUCGCCAUUGCCUUCAUCACCAUGAUGAUAAUCUCCCUGGCCUGGCUAAUAUUCUACUAUGUCCAGCGCUUCCUAUAUACAGGAGCCAAGUAUGGAAAUCAGGGUAACCGUAAAGAAACCAAAAAAGCAAUCAGCCAACUUCAGCUGCACAGGGUGAAGAAGGGUGAAAAGGGAAUCGACAUAGAGGCUGAAAAUUGUGCGGUGUGCAUAGAAAACUACAAACCCAAAGAUGUUGUUCGCAUUCUCCCAUGCAAACACAUUUUCCAUCGGCAGUGUAUAGAUCCAUGGCUACUUGAACACAGAACAUGCCCGAUGUGUAAAUUGGAUGUCAUUAAAGCUCUUGGAUUUUGGGUGGAGCCUGAUGAAACACUAGAGGUUCCUGUUCCAGAAUCCAUCGCUGGCAGCAGCCUAUCUGUUGGGACCUUGAAUUUUGCCCAAGAGGAGAACAGAAGUGAAAUAAACAACCUGCCCACUUCUUCAGCAGGAGAGACUUUACAUCAGUGUAACAGUACCAAGGAAGAUGCAGGGGAAACCACCGCAUUGCUGGGAAAAUAAAAGGGUGAGUGUACAAAAUAAGUGACCUGGAUUAGGGAGAAAGCUAUAGGUAGAGGUGAUCCUGGCAGUGAGGAUAUACCCGGGGAGCAAAUACAGAAUUCUGUGAAUCCUAUUUCUCACUAACCUUGCUCGUUAAGGAACUUUUGGACUGAUCUAGAACUUGUUUUUAAUUGUACGGGUUUAAAAAAAGCCAUGAAGUUACAUUUGGUUUAAAGAGACCAGUAUAACAGACCUAUAAAACUGUUGGAUCCUUAUUUUUAAACACAAAGCCCUGUUUGCUAGGACAUACAUAUGGUACCUGUUACAUAUUUCCCUAAGGUCUGGUCUAGUAGUAAUAUAGAGGACUGGCGUUGAAAACACAUGGUGUCACACAAAGGUGGUAACUAAACUUGGCGUUCAGUCCACUGCCGGAGAGAGGUGGAAAAAGUCUUCUGGAUGGAAAAAAAUAAUUAAUGAACAUUUAUUGUGCUAGAUUGUAACUGUGCAACAUAGCAGUUAGUUUUGUUUACUUACUAGUUUCCUCUUCACAUUUACUCUGGAUUCCGUGGAACAACAAAGAAAGCACUUAUGAGAGGAGAAGACGUUUGUGUUGAAGUCUGGUACUUAACCCCUAACUUUUUACUCAUGUAAAAUCUAACUUUACAAGUGGAGAUAAACCUGGAAGUAUGGCUCAGGUAUUCUGUAUAGACCAGUGAUGAACAAGUUCAGUUGUACAACAUCCGCCUCAGGAAUCCGGACACCUACAGUAAUGAAGAUGUGUGUUGUUGGAUCCAGCUCAGGCAUCCGGAUACCUGCAGUGAUGACUAUGUUGUUUCUGAUCCAGCUCAGGAAUGUGCGAUUGCGGUGAUGAACAGGUUCUAUUGUUGUGGAUAAAAAAUUAAAACCUAGAUUACACACCUUUUAAGUGGAUAUGUUCAUAACUCGCUGACUACUUACUAUAGGUUUACUUAUUACAUAGUUUGACCAAAGACUGCUGAAUUAUUAUUUUUUUUAUUUUUUUUUUCUUCCUGUUUACAGUUAGUCGUGAAGCAAAUAACAUCAUUACAACAUUAUGUACUGUGCUGAACAUAUAAAAAGAGGAAUUAAAGCAUUUUUAUUGGUUGUAA